Molecule: ribosomal RNA, 253 nt
Filed under: uncultured bacterium
Lineage: Bacteria
Description: partial 16S ribosomal RNA
Rfam family: Bacterial small subunit ribosomal RNA
Source: RNAcentral
UACGUAGGGUGCGCGCGUUAAUCGGAAUUACUGGGCGUAAAGCGUGCGCAGGCGGUUUUGUAAGCCAGAUGUGAAAUCCCCGGGCUUAACCUGGGAAUGGCAUUUGGGACUGCAAGGCUCGAGUGCGGCAGAGGAGACUGGAAUUCCUGGUGUAGCAGUGAAAUGCGUAGAUAUCAGGAGGAACACCGAUGGCGAAGGCAGGUCUCUGGGCUGACACUGACGCUCAUGCACGAAAGCGUGGGGAGCAAACAGG